UGCUCUAAAUUAAGAAUUAAUAUUUUAAUAUUUUCAGUAUUACGCUUUAAAUUUAAGCUAAGAGAGCAA
Molecule: transfer RNA, 69 nt
Filed under: Scirtothrips dorsalis
Lineage: Eukaryota; Metazoa; Arthropoda; Insecta; Thysanoptera; Thripidae
Description: tRNA-Phe
Source: RNAcentral